RNAcentral lists this ribosomal RNA (497 nucleotides) under uncultured bacterium. Its description in RNAcentral is "partial 16S ribosomal RNA". It matches the Rfam family "Bacterial small subunit ribosomal RNA", at positions 28 to 506 of the family's 1533-position model. The record is from RNAcentral.
GACGAACGCUGGCGACGUGCCUAAUACAUGCAAGUCGAACGAGAGCGACCGGUGCUUGCACUGGUCAAUCUAGUGGCGAACGGGUGAGUAACACGUGGGUAACCUGCCCAUCAGAGGGGGAUAACAUCCGGAAACGGAUGCUAAAACCGCAUAGGUCUUCGAGCCGCAUGGCUUGAAGAGGAAAAGAGGCGCAAGCUUCUGCUGAUGGAUGGACCCGCGGUGCAUUAGCUAGUUGGUGAGGUAACGGCUCACCAAGGCCGUGAUGCAUAGCCGACCUGAGAGGGUGAUCGGCCACAUUGGGACUGAGACACGGCCCAAACUCCUACGGGAGGCAGCAGUAGGGAAUCUUCCGCAAUGGACGCAAGUCUGACGGAGCAACGCCGCGUGAGUGAAGAAGGUUUUCGGAUCGUAAAACUCUGUUGUUAGAGAAGAACAAGUGCUAGAGUAACUGUUAGCGCCUUGACGGUAUCUAACCAGAAAGCCACGGCUAACUACGU